RNAcentral lists this ribosomal RNA (429 nucleotides) under Acidobacteriota bacterium. Its description in RNAcentral is "Acidobacteria bacterium partial 16S ribosomal RNA". It matches the Rfam family "Bacterial small subunit ribosomal RNA", at positions 355 to 776 of the family's 1533-position model. The record is from RNAcentral. Lineage: Bacteria; Pseudomonadati; Acidobacteriota.
UGGGGAAUUUUGGACAAUGGGGGAAACCCUGAUCAAGCCAUCCCGCGUGUGCGAUGAAGGCCUUCGGGUUGUAAAGCACCUUUGGCAGGAAAGAAACGUCAUGGGUUAAUACUACGUGAAACUGAUGGUACCUGCAGAAUAAGCACCGGCUAACUACGUGCCAGCAGCCGCGGUAAUACGUAGGGUGCAAGCGUCAAUCGGAAUUACUGGGCGUAAAGCGUGCGCAGGCGGUUCGGAAAGAAAGAUGUGAAAUCCCAGUGCUCAACUUUGGAACUGCAUUUUUAACUAACGGGCUAGAGUGUGGCAGAGGGAGGUGGAAUUCCGGGUGUAGCAGUGACAUGCGUAGAUAGGCGGAGGAACAACGAUGGCGAAGGCAGCCUCCUGGAAUAACACUGACGCUCAUGCACGAAAGCGUGGGGAGCAAACAGG